RNAcentral lists this ribosomal RNA (222 nucleotides) under Pichia inconspicua. Its description in RNAcentral is "[Candida] inconspicua partial 28S ribosomal RNA". It matches the Rfam family "Eukaryotic large subunit ribosomal RNA", at positions 1 to 220 of the family's 3401-position model. Lineage: Eukaryota; Fungi; Ascomycota; Pichiomycetes; Pichiales; Pichiaceae. The record is from RNAcentral.
GCUCGACCUCAAAUCAGGUAGGAAUACCCGCUGAACUUAAGCAUAUCAAUAAGCGGAGGAAAAGAAACCAACGGGGAUUGCCUAAGUAGCGGCGAGUGAAGCGGCAAGAGCUCAUAUUUGAAAUCGCACCACCCUGCUGCGAGUUGUAUAUUGCAGGUGGAAGAGUCUGCGUAGGCCGGUGUCGAAGUCCCUUGGAACAGGGCGCCACUGAGGGUGAGAGCC